RNAcentral lists this ribosomal RNA (497 nucleotides) under uncultured bacterium. Its description in RNAcentral is "partial 16S ribosomal RNA". It matches the Rfam family "Bacterial small subunit ribosomal RNA", at positions 28 to 507 of the family's 1533-position model. The record is from RNAcentral.
GAUGAACGCUGGCGGCGUGCCUAAUACAUGCAAGUCGAGCGAACAGAUGAGGAGCUUGCUCCUCUGACGUUAGCGGCGGACGGGUGAGUAACACGUGGAUAACCUACCUAUAAGACUGGGAUAACUUCGGGAAACCGGAGCUAAUACCGGAUAAUAUUUUGAACCGCAUGGUUCAAUAGUGAAAGACGGUUUUGCUGUCACUUAUAGAUGGAUCCGCGCCGCAUUAGCUAGUUGGUAAGGUAACGGCUUACCAAGGCAACGAUGCGUAGCCGACCUGAGAGGGUGAUCGGCCACACUGGAACUGAGACACGGUCCAGACUCCUACGGGAGGCAGCAGUAGGGAAACUUCCGCAAAGGGCGAAAGCCUGACGGAGCAACGCCGCGUGAGUGAUGAAGGUCUUCGGAUCGUAAAACUCUGUUAUUAGGGAAGAACAAAUGUGUAAGUAACUAUGCACGUCUUGACGGUACCUAAUCAGAAAGCCACGGCUAACUACGUG